This 266-nucleotide ribosomal RNA is filed under the name uncultured bacterium. Its description in RNAcentral is "partial 16S ribosomal RNA". It matches the Rfam family "Bacterial small subunit ribosomal RNA", at positions 337 to 620 of the family's 1533-position model. The record is from RNAcentral.
CCCUACGGGGGGCAGCAGUGGGGAAUAUUGCACAAUGGGGGAAACCCUGAUGCAGCGACGCCGCGUGAGUGAAGAAGUAAUUCGUUAUGUAAAGCUCUAUCAGCAGGGAAGAAAAUGACGGUACCUGAGUAAGAAUCCCCGGCUAACUACGUGACAGCAGCCGCGGUAAUACGUAGGGGGCAGGGGUUAUCCGGAUUUACUGGGUGUAAAGGGAGCGUAGACGGCAGUGCAAGUCUGGAGUGAAAGGCGGAGGCUCAAGCCCAGGC